UCCUUCAUGAAUUGACCUACGGUAAAGU
RNAcentral lists this small RNA (28 nucleotides) under Bombyx mori (domestic silkworm). RNAcentral's name for it is "ovarian small RNA-7426". The record is from RNAcentral. Lineage: Eukaryota; Metazoa; Arthropoda; Insecta; Lepidoptera; Bombycidae.